Molecule: long non-coding RNA, 3241 nt
Filed under: Pelobates cultripes (western spadefoot toad)
Lineage: Eukaryota; Metazoa; Chordata; Amphibia; Anura; Pelobatidae
Source: RNAcentral
AAAAAAAAACAGUGCAUGUGUUAAAGCAGCUGGAGGCCCUAUGCUUCUGAUGGUGCAGCAGCUCUGGUGAGUCCUGGGUGACCUUACUGAACUAGCAAAGAACUGAGCAUUGCAAGUGCUCCUACCUCCCAGUUAUACUCCCCACCAGCCUCACAUUCAUAGCCAGUUACACUGUAUUAAUACAUCAAGGUAAGGCUAAGGAAGGGAUUUUGAUCAAGUUAGCCCAUCUAUAGAGAGUUAUUUACUAAAGUGGGAAUUGUUAAGAAUUCGAAGUGAAUUUAAAUAUUAGGUCAAAAUAGCAAAAGGUCUCAGAAGAGAAUGAUCUAAGACUGGAUGGUUAAGAUGGUGCCUGGGGACUUCAGAUACCAUAGCUACUUCAUUAAGAGGUAAUGGUUAUGGUGCCAGGAAUGAGCGCUGUCAAAUCUGCGACAAUAUGAAAUUCACCCUGAAUUCCCAAUAGGUCACACUUCAGCGACAAACACUGCUAAUAUGUGAGAAUUUACAGAUUACUUUGUAAAGAUAGAGAAGUGGAAAUUGCAGAUGAAGUAGCUAUUCGCCAGAAUGUGUAUUGAUGGGAAUUGUGAGUGAAUAUCCAACAAUGCGCACUUCAGUCAAUAACCCAGUACAGUAGACUGUUACUGGUUUCAGAGACCUAACAGGACCUAAGAUUUCAAGCGCUGAUUUAGUAUCUCAGUGUAUCUUAGUGUAUUUUAGUGAUUUGAAGUGGUAAUGGUUCCUGGUGUUGGUUUUCCUUUGAAACCCUGCACACACCCUACCAUAGGUGUAACUCCACCUCUGGCACCCUGCAAGAGGUGUAACUCCACCUCGAGCAGCGUUACUAGGACAUCAUUUAACACUACAGAACAAAACUUCAUUAGCUGGCUAAGGUCAGUUUUUUUUGCACUUUGGACACCUGUCAUCAGAACGUAUAACAGGUGUCCAAUGGACAUGAGCUACCUCUCCCUACCACCAAGUCCUCCUCUUAGCUCGUCAUCCCUGAAAUCCCUUCCUUGCGGCUAGGGGCAAUGACGUCAACAGAGGAAGAUUGGGUUGCUGGUAAACUUGGCUUUGGUGCUGCAGGGAGGUAUGUUAACUUUUUUUUUUAAUUAAGGGACAAUGAUAGGAAGGGUUACUCUAACCAAAGACAAUGUUUUAUAAAACACUGUUUUUUGUUUGGAGUAACCCGUCAUGUUUUUUUGAGUACAGUAAUAUAGGAUAGUGAAAAUGAGUGUGCUUAUUAGUGGAUGUGAUUCAUCUCAAAUUGGCUCUGUAUCCCCCUCCAAUGAAGCAUUUCAUAAAAAUAAAAUAUUUGUGAAAUGCUCAUAGAGGACUGUUGGAAUUUAAGAAACAUUCCAACGCAGUCAAAAGAUAGAACAAAGCAGGGACUACUUUGUCUUAUGGCAAAUUCUCAAGUUGACAAAUCGUGGAGCUACCGAUAUCAAGUUUUGUCACGUUCUACAGCCAUCGCUAAUGGAUGUGGGAGUGAGGCAUUAUCUUACUCAUUGUGAGAUAAUAUCUGUGGAGGCUAUAUUGGGAUCCUCCAUAGACAUAAGAGUUGUACUCUCACACAUGUAUGAAAGUACCGCAAUGACGUGAUCUCCUGGCAGAAGACAUGCCAGGAGCUGAAAAUCAAAGUAAGUAAUUGGAUUACUUAUUGAUAGCACUUUUUGAGCCAGAGCAUGUUUUAGUUUGGCCUGCAAAAUUAUGAUGACUUUAUAGUGAUUGAUACCAGACAGGCGUAAGAUGCUGAAUACUAAGUUCAGGUGAGAGAAAGGGAAUGAUCCCUCUAAAUGGCAUGAAUGACUGACACCCAGUUGCGGUUAAACUUAUUUGUAUCUUUUAAUCUGCAUACAGUAAAAGUCAUAAACUUAUAAAAGCAUUAGCUUUUUUUUACACCAAGGUAAUUGAGUAUGCAGUUUUGGGAGGUUUAACAGUAUUUGCAGACUUUCCAUGGAUAGAUUUUCACAGAGUAGUAGAAUUGGAAGGUGAUAUGAUUCUUAUAGCCGUUUCUAUAUUCUUUGUCUGAGUAAGCUUUAUUAACGACUUACAUUGUUUGGGUAAGGUAUUUCUUGAUCAUCACAUGCUGGCCAUGUGUUACUUAUUGAGUAUUGUAGAAAGCUCUUCACAUUUAAUUACAUGGAAGAGAUGAUUCCAUUUUCUUGCCCUUUGUGGUAAAGACAUUUUUUGCAUUUAGCACAAUUAAACGGCUACCCCAAGCACCAUGACUUCGUCAGAGAUUUGAAGUGGUCAUGGUGCCUGGAGUCUGUAUAGGAAUCAUUUCACUAUUAAACAGAGAGUGUGUGUGUAUGUGUGUGUGUGUGUGUGUGUGUGUGUGUGUGUGUGUGUGUAUAUAUAUAUAUAUGUGUGUAUAUAUAUAUAUAUAUAUAUAUAUAUAUAUAUAUAUAUAUAUAUAUAUAUAUAUAUAUACACACACAAAACCUGUAUGAUAGAGGCGCUUAAAUAUUGAUAAUAUCAGGUGAGGUUAGGCUACAACACUCUAUUGGGGACCCCUCUCACCCAUCAACAUCAUGCAAAAAAGAGAAAGUGGGCUUGGUUGUGUCCUCACUGCACGUGACUGGGGGAACUCUGGCAGUCAGCUUGGAGGGACCCUCUCUGGGAACAGCAGAGACCAGCAACACGCGUCCGCAUUACAGGUGGGUAGUUCUCCCAGUGAGUGCCAAGUUUCUCUGUCUUUUAUACCUUUUAGCAAGUUUGUAACUUUUCCAAGAUUUCUUAUCAGUGCAGCCCAGCAUGUAUCUUGUCAUGCGCAUUAGGUCAUCAGUAUGGUUGAUCAGGCCAGUCGUGACCACCCAAGGCUCAUGCCAGAUACGUGCGGUAUCUUAUUCUCUCUAUGUCCCUACUCUUAUCUCUCCAUACAUUUGUUGGCACCAAUUCCCUCUGUUCAUCACGUAGGCCUUUUUGGAUAUUGUCCAGACAUGCUAUGGAAUAUUCCAGGCAAUGUUGAAUUUCUUAGUGCGACACAGUUUAAGCAUUUUAUGCAAUGUCAUCAUAGCUGAAUUUCUUGGUGCGACACAAGCUGAAUUUCUUGGUGCGACACAAGCUGAAUUUCUUAGUGCGACACAAGCUGAAUUUCUUAGUGCGACACAAGCUGAAUUUCUUAGUGCGACACAAGCUGAAUUUCUUAGUGCGGCACAAGUUGAAUUUCUUAGUGCGACACAGUUUAAGCCAAGUGCCAUCUUAACUAUCUAUGAUAGAUUAAUUUGCUCAUUAGUGAUCAAUC